AUGCUUGGGCCUGUGCAUAUCAUGUUGCCUGCCUCUGAUCUCCGCGGAUAUGUUUUUCAGUUGCCAGCAGUUGGCCAGAAAGAAAAUGGCAUGAUUGAUGCCUGUGUGUGUGUAUCUAGUUCUAGUACCUACCAUGCCAUGUUCUCCAGGGGUUCACUGUGUGUGGUGUGUGUGAUUGGCGGGGUCUGUGGCAACUUGAUGAUGGGUGCUGGGCAAGUGGAUUUCGCCUCUGUCCAGGGUGCCAAUUGUCCGGUGGCCUUUUGCCUUUUCUUCCAUUGGCGAAUCGGCGUGGAUCACGGCGGAAUCCGUGGUUUGCAGCGGUGCCACGGAUGGAGCCGGAUUCGUGCUGCUUUUUGGUCGAACUUUGUGACAAGGACGCGCUAA
RNAcentral lists this ribosomal RNA (384 nucleotides) under Triticum aestivum (bread wheat). RNAcentral's name for it is "partial small subunit ribosomal RNA". Lineage: Eukaryota; Viridiplantae; Streptophyta; Magnoliopsida; Poales; Poaceae. The record is from RNAcentral.